Molecule: unclassified non-coding RNA, 346 nt
Filed under: soil metagenome
Description: partial contains 5.8S ribosomal RNA, internal transcribed spacer 2, and large subunit ribosomal RNA
Rfam family: 5.8S ribosomal RNA (bases 1-120)
Source: RNAcentral
GAUGAAGAACGCAGCGAAAUGCGAUAAGUAGUGUGAAUUGCAGAAUUCAGUGAAUCAUCGAAUCUUUGAACGCACAUUGCGCCCGCCAGUAUUCUGGCGGGCAUGCCUGUUCGAGCGUCAUUUCAACCCUCAAGCCCUCGGGUUUGGUGUUGGGGAUCGGCGAGCCUUUCUGGCAAGCCGGCCCCGAAAUCUAGUGGCGGUCUCGCUGCAGCCUCCAUUGCGUAGUAGUAAAACCCUCGCAACUGGAACGCGGCGCGGCCAAGCCGUUAAACCCCCAACUUCUGAAUGUUGACCUCGGAUCAGGUAGGAAUACCCGCUGAACUUAAGCAUAUCAAUAAGCGGAGGA